Molecule: unclassified non-coding RNA, 301 nt
Filed under: uncultured Dothideomycetes
Lineage: Eukaryota; Fungi; Ascomycota; Dothideomycetes
Description: sequence contains ITS1
Rfam family: 5.8S ribosomal RNA (bases 1-105)
Source: RNAcentral
GAAAUGCGAUAAGUAGUGUGAAUUGCAGAAUUCAGUGAAUCAUCGAAUCUUUGAACGCACAUUGCGCCCCUUGGUAUUCCAUGGGGCAUGCCUGUUCGAGCGUCAUCUACACCCUCAAGCUCUGCUUGGUGUUGGGCGUCUGUCCCGCCUCUGCGCGCGGACUCGCCCCAAAUUCAUUGGCAGCGGUCCUUGCCUCCUCUCGCGCAGCACAAUUGCGUUUCUCGAGGUGUGCGGGCCGCGUCCACGAAGCAACAUUACCGUCUUUGACCUCGGAUCAGGUAGGGAUACCCGCUGAACUUAA